CCUACGGGUGGCAGCAGUGGGGGAUAUUGCACAAUGGGGGAAACCCUGAUGCAGCGACGCCGCGUGGGCGAAGAAGUAUUUCGGUAUGUAAAGCCCUAUCAGCAGGGAAGAAGAAAUGACGGUACCUGAGUAAGAAGCACCGGCUAAAUACGUGCCAGCAGCCGCGGUCAUACGGAGGGUGCAAGCGUUAUCCGGAUUUACUGGGUGUAAAGGGAGCGUAGGCGGCACGGCAAGCCUGAUGUGAAAGCCCGCGGCGCAACCGCGGGACUGCAUUUGGAACUACCGGGCUGGAGUGCAGGAGAGGUAGGCGGAAUUCGUAGUGUAGCGGUGAAAUGCAUAGAUAUCACGCAGAACCCCGAUUGCGAAGGCAGCAUACCGGUGCACAACUGACGCUCAGGCACGAAAGCGUGGGUAUCGAACAGGAUUAGAUACCCCAGUAGUC
Molecule: ribosomal RNA, 442 nt
Filed under: uncultured bacterium
Lineage: Bacteria
Description: partial 16S ribosomal RNA
Rfam family: Bacterial small subunit ribosomal RNA
Source: RNAcentral